ACAAGCGCUCGCUGUGGUUCUGGCAGCGAAGUGCGAGACUGGGCUCGCCAGGCGGAAGUGGUUGGAGACUGCGUGUUUUCCUAGAAAGUCCUCGACCUUCGUCGGGGAGAGGAGGGGAGUGAUAAAUUGGAAGGCGGACAAGCGACAAGUGCGGUACUGGAAAGACCCAAACAUACUUGGUUGUGACCUCAGGUCACAUCUCCCAAGAAGCAGUAAUGUUCCAGCAAUAAGAAAAGGACAGUUUUUUGUCUUUUGCAUGGUGAGCCUUAUAUGAAUUACAUCAAUUUUGUCACCAAUAUCCAUCAUCAGAACAUUUUGAUUCUACAUAACACAUUGCAAAUGGUCACAACAAUCAAGACUAUAUCCAUAGAUGUCCCAGAAAUAAUAUCUGACUAUACAGAGCAGCAUUACCAAGCCACCAAGAAGUCUGCCUAGUAAUGACAAUGAUAACAACAGCUAACACUUAUCAACAGAGCAGAGGAACAGAGCCACAGAUAACUGAAAACCACUUUGGCACUGAGGAGGUAUGCAGACAAGAUCUGGAAGGGAAUCUAGAAAAAUGGCAACUUUGGAAUAAUAGAUACCUUUUGUUUUCUUAUCGCUUUUAUUUUUGUCAUGAUAAAUAUUAAGAGUAAAAAGAAAAUUCACAUUGUUUGUGCCAUGGUACUCAGUCAACUUAGGUUUUACUCAAUAGCAUGUUGUUAAUUAAUCUUCCAAAUUGUUGGGGUAUUUCAUAUGAAGUAGCCCCUACCCCCACCUUGUCCUUUCCCCAGACUCCAUUCCUAGAUAAUCACUUCUGUCAAUUCCUAGAUAAUCACUUGCCUUACUGACAGAUUCAGAGGAAGCCAUCAGUUUUUUGGGCAGAAUGAAGGGACAAAUGGUGAACUGGUAUCCGGGAUGCUGCCUAGAACCCUGUCCAUUUAAGAAGACACCCAGGUGAUACGCAAUGCACAAAAAGCACUGGAACUCCCAGCAGGCAAGCACUGCAGUCUAUAAACCCUCUAUUGAGAAAGGCCAUGACAUGUCUACCAGGGACACAGAUUUGGGAGGCAGAACACAAGACAGGGUGAGGGUGAAAAGCAAUGGCUACCUGGCCACGUCAGCCAAAUCAGCUCCAAAAAUCAAUGCGAUGACAGUGGUCACAGGCAGAUCACUCUCACCUUAUAACCUGGGAUGGCACAGACCAGACAGAUUAUUUCAUUUUGUUUUUUCAUUAUUUUUAUUUACUUUUUUGGAGAGAGGGUCUCACUCCAUUGCCCAGGCUGGAGUCCAGUGGUGUGAUCAUAGCUCACUGUAACCUUGAACUCCUGGACUCAAGUGAUAAACCUGCAGCUGUCUUCCCUGAGUAGCUGGGACUACAGGUACACACCACUACACCGGGCCUCUCAUUUUGCUUAAUUUAUUUAAUUAGUCAACUAAUUUUGAGGGAGGGCAGAUUUUGGAAGUAAAGGGCAUAGAUGGUUCUGUAGUAUGCGGAAAUCUGAAGCUUUGCUAAGAUGGGAUCAACAUGAAGCAUCUGUACAUGUACAAAUUAGCAAAUGUUACCAUGACUAACAGUAAAAUGAAGAAUUAAGGAAAUUAUAAGGUUAAUUUCCUUGAAGUCUCUCAGUAGUCAUUUGUGUCUAUAGGUGAUUUUGUAUUUUACAACAUUGUAUUUUCUAAUUUCAUGAAAGGAAAGCUAACCAAAUUCGUGGAUUUUAUUUUUUGCCUCAGCCUCAAAAAGCCUUAGGGCUGAUUCAGGCCUGGUUGUAGCAAUCGGCUGUCUCAAAGGCCUCCUGCAUGUUUAAAUAGCUUCUCUCCUGUUUAUUUUGCACUGUUUUAUCCUGUAAGCUGUCUCGAGGCCCUUCCAAUAUAAGCAUGAGGAUUUAAAUCUUAAUAAAUUGAGAUUUGAAUAACAGAGGUAAUCUGGGCUUGGGGGGUCUUGAAUUAUUGGGAUAAACAUCUCUGUUUCUCAUCUGCACAUUAUGCAUGUGCUGUACACAUUGCCCCAUGACCAAGGUCAGAAAUAAUAAAAUAGUCAUAGCAGAAAUAAUACUGAUAAUAUUUAGAGUUAAAUAGCACUUUUCUGUUUGUAAGGACUUUUUUAUGUACAGGUUCUCCUUCUAUUCUUGGAAUAGUCCUAACCAGUAGAAAGAUCAGGUGUUAUACCCACUUUAAAAAUGAAGCAACUGAGUGACAAAGAGAUUAAGACACAUUCAAAACAAUAUGGACAAGUGGAGGCAAUAGGACUGGAACUCAGGUCUUCCUGAUAGCUUUCCCACAAUUUUGCCAGAUGUGUUAACAUUAUGUGUGCUAACAAUAAGACUCAACUCAGUGACAUUCCAAUUAAACUUACUGGAGAUGUCUUUUUAUAAGCUUAUGACAGGGACAUUGUAGAAGUCUGGAGUUAGCUCUUUUUUAAAAAAGAUUGCCACAGAGAUUGCUCAUGAGUUCAACUCUGGGGUUGAAA
RNAcentral lists this long non-coding RNA (2449 nucleotides) under Homo sapiens (human). RNAcentral's name for it is "non-protein coding RORA-AS1:20". The record is from RNAcentral. Lineage: Eukaryota; Metazoa; Chordata; Mammalia; Primates; Hominidae.